RNAcentral lists this transfer RNA (73 nucleotides) under Pseudomonadota bacterium. Its description in RNAcentral is "tRNA-Ile". It matches the Rfam family "tRNA". From Rfam's summary of the family: Transfer RNA (tRNA) molecules are approximately 80 nucleotides in length. Their secondary structure includes four short double-helical elements and three loops (D, anti-codon, and T loops). Lineage: Bacteria; Pseudomonadati; Pseudomonadota. The record is from RNAcentral.
GGGCCUAUAGCUCAAUGGUUAGAGCACUCGGCUCAUAACCGAGUGGUUCAAGGUUCAAGUCCUUGUGGGCCCA